GAUGAACGCUGGCGGCGUGCCUAAUACAUGCAAGUCGAGCGCACGGACGAGAAGCUUGCUUCUCUGAUGUUAGCGGCAGACGGGUGAGUAACACGUGUAUAACCUACCUAUCAUACUGGGAUAACUUCGGGAAACCGGAGCUAAUACCGGAUAAUCUUUUGAACCGCAUGGUUCAAGAGUGAAAGACGGUCUUGCUGUCACUUAUAGAUGGAUCCGCGCUGCAUUAGCUAGUUGGUAAGGUAACGGCUUACCAAGGCAACGAUGCAUAGCCGACCUGAGAGGGUGAUCGGCCACCCUGGAACAGAGACACGGUCCAGACGCCUACGGGAGGCAGCAGUGGGGAAGCUUCCGAAAUGGGCGAAAGCCUGACGGAGCAACGCCGCGUGAGUGAUGAAGGUCUUCGGAUCGUAAAACUCUGUUAUUAGGGAAGAACAUAUGUGUAAGUAACUGUGCACAUCGUGACGGUAGCGAAUCAGAAAGCCACGGCUAACUACGUG
RNAcentral lists this ribosomal RNA (497 nucleotides) under uncultured bacterium. RNAcentral describes it as "partial 16S ribosomal RNA". It matches the Rfam family "Bacterial small subunit ribosomal RNA", at positions 28 to 507 of the family's 1533-position model. The record is from RNAcentral.